AUACCGGCCAGAGACCGAUAGCGCACAAGUAGAGUGAUCGAAAGAUGAAAAGCACCUUGAAAAGGGGGUUAAAUAGUACGUGAAAUUGUUGAAAGGGAAGCACUUAUGACCAGACUUGGGCCGGGCGGCUCAUCAGGGGUUCUCCCCUGUGCACUCCGCCCGGCACAGGCCAGCAUCGGUUCUCGUGGGGGGAUAAGACCGUCAGGAACGUAGCACCCUCCGGGGUGUGUUAUAGCCUGGCGGACGAUACCCUCGUGGGGACCGAGGUUCGCGCUCCGCAAGGAUGCUGGCGUAAUGGUCGUAAUCCGCCCGUCUUGAAACACGGACC
This 328-nucleotide ribosomal RNA is filed under the name uncultured fungus. Its description in RNAcentral is "LSU rRNA". It matches the Rfam family "Eukaryotic large subunit ribosomal RNA", at positions 320 to 667 of the family's 3401-position model. The record is from RNAcentral. Lineage: Eukaryota; Fungi.